CAUCUCUGACGAUAGAUAAAAUAUUAAGAAUCGGUCCUAUUUCUCAAUUUGUAGUAAGCUGAGUUUAAAUUU
Molecule: long non-coding RNA, 72 nt
Organism: Chrysoperla carnea
Lineage: Eukaryota; Metazoa; Arthropoda; Insecta; Neuroptera; Chrysopidae
Exons: 3
Source: RefSeq, a predicted model, not a curated record